RNAcentral lists this unclassified non-coding RNA (1425 nucleotides) under Penaeus chinensis. RNAcentral describes it as "transformer-2 protein homolog alpha-like, transcript variant X9". Lineage: Eukaryota; Metazoa; Arthropoda; Malacostraca; Decapoda; Penaeidae. The record is from RNAcentral.
UUGAGCCGGUUGUACUGCUUCGGUAGUCUUUGGCCAAGGGGCGCGGCGGGAGGUGCGACUUGUGCGUUUCGUGAUUUCUUUGAGCCCGGACUACGCGGUUCAUUGGCAUAUACAGUGCAGAAUCGUUCGGUCUGCAAAGGUGCCGCCGCUGGCCAAGGACUGAUCUGCACACAUCAAGGAGGACCAUAGGCUACAUCCUGGUACGAAGUUUGGUCACGUGACCUCUCUCAACCUUGACAUGCCCCGCCCACCUUUUCUCCAGUCUGUCAUAAAGAGUCCAGAGGGUGAACGGAACAGUCUCACACCUCGUUCGCGGUCGCGCUCAAGGUCACGUCUAGAGUCACCAGCCGCUUCCCCUGCUCAUCGCCGCACAGCCACGUCGCAGUCAAGGUCUCCCCAGCCUCGCAGACGCUCAUUUUCCAGGUCGCGAUCCCGAACCCCACGCAGGCAUCGCUCCCGGAGUGGCUCACCUCGAAACGGUCAUGAUGGAAGUAGUCGCCGCUCUCGACGCAGCCGGUCGGUCCACUCAAGCUCCCCGAUGUCGAACCGGAGGCGGCAUAUCGGCACCAGAGACAAUCCCGAGCCAUCCAAGUGCCUGGGGGUGUUUGGCCUAAGCGUGCACACCACGGAAAGACAGCUGUACACCAUUUUUGACAAGUUUGGCCCUCUGGAGAAAGUACAAGUAGUCCUGGACUCGAAAACGGGCAAGUCAAGAGGCUUUGCGUUCGUGUACUUUGAGUCACUUAAGGAUGCCUCGGAAGCCAAAAAUGAGUGUUCUGGGAUGGAGAUUGAUGGCCGGAGGAUUAGAGUUGAUUAUUCCAUCACCAAGCGGCCGCACACUCCAACUCCAGGAAUAUACAUGGGUAGACCCACAUCUCGCGGUGGCUACGACCGGGGCUACGGCCGAGGAGGCCACCGUGGAGACAGGUACCGUUCCCCGUCACCCCGUUACCGGCCUCGCUCCAGCGGUGGGCGCCGCGACUAUUACGAUCGUGGGUAUGUACUCGGCCAGGGCGUUACCGCACAACUCAAGCCACCACAAGAUAUAAUAGUUCAUGUGGAGGCAAGCUAGUUAAAGCAAGUUUACAGAAGCUUCUUAAGUAGGCCAAGGGGCUGAAGAUGAUCAACUCCCAAGUUAAUGGUGAAGGUGGUUAAGAAUUGAUGGAUUGAUGGAAAGGAUUCACGGUUUGUUCAGAGCAACCCUCCAAAGGCAAUUGACAAGUGCAGAUGAAAAAACAGUAAAAUUGUGAGGAAAAACCUGUGAACUGAAGAUUUCUAAGAGAUUUGAGGUAUGACCGCGGGGACAGGAGCUAUGACAGAGGCUAUGACCGCUACGACAGGCCUCAAUACCAUGACCGCUAUGAUAGAUAUGACCGUGCUUAUGACAAGUACGAUCGCUACGAUAGGUCCAGAUCUCGCUCCUAU